This 63-nucleotide small RNA is filed under the name Arabidopsis thaliana (thale cress). Its description in RNAcentral is "ATSL095250". Lineage: Eukaryota; Viridiplantae; Streptophyta; Magnoliopsida; Brassicales; Brassicaceae. The record is from RNAcentral.
AUACAAUAAAAUCUCUAUAAAUUAAUAAUGUUGGGACCAUAUUAUUAUUUUUAAUUUGUAUUU